Molecule: RNA transcript, 2733 nt
Organism: Oryza sativa Japonica Group (Japanese rice)
Lineage: Eukaryota; Viridiplantae; Streptophyta; Magnoliopsida; Poales; Poaceae
Source: RefSeq, a predicted model, not a curated record
UGCGACAGACUACUCGUCGGCUCAAUUCCUAGCCGUUGCCAUAUACUACUCCGUAUGUGGAUGUGGCCCCCAUUGGCCAGUGACCCAAUAUAUGGAAACCUAACUGCAUCCACCAUUCCACCGUCAUCCUCGCCGUCCCCUUCUUCUGCGCCGCCGCCGCCGCCGCCGCCGCCGCCGGAGGGCGGUGCCGCCCCUCUCUUCCUCUCUCGUCAACGCAGCAGCAAAAGCUAGCGUGCGCCGCCGGCACGCAAAGCUUCCCCCGGCUCCUCUUGCCCUCCUCUAGCUCCUCCCCCAUCCCCGACCUAGGGCUUCUUCCAAUCCUCCGCUGCCGCCGCCGCCGCCACCUUCCAUCCAGCCUCCGCCGACCGCUGCCAACCAUGGCGCUCUACCGCCGCCUCCUCCACCUCCGCCGCCUCCAGCCCCCGGCCGAACACGCCUCCUCCGUAGCCUCAGCGACUCCCCGCCUCUUCCCGCUGCUCACGCCGUCGCGCCCCUUCGCCGCCGUCUCCUCAAUCCCCCGCGUCGAGCCGCCGCUCCUCGUCGUCCCCUCCGGUUUGGCGCGCGAUGGUUUCUUCGGACGUAGGGGGGAUCGCCAGUUCUUUUCAACUGUUGGUGCUGUCUUAGUUGGUCAAGCAGCUAUUUUUCUUGGUCUAUGCAAUGACUCUGCACUGGCUCAGGAUGAUUCAGCUGGUCUAGGAGCUACAAGAAAUGAGCAAACUGAGGAAAACGCUACAGGUUUACAGCGAAUCGAAGAUGGCUCAGUGGUCUCAAAUGAACACACUGUCAAAUGGAGAAUCUUCACUGAUAAUGCUCGAGAUUUUUUACUGAAAAGAAACCUAGAUGAAGCUGAGAAGUUUUUCCAGGCAGCCCUACAUGAAGCGAAAGAAGGAUUUGGACUGAGAGAUCCACAUGUUGCGUCAGCCCUUAACAAUCUGGCUGAGUUUUAUAGGUUAAAGAAAGAAUACGAGAAGGCUGAGCUAUUGUAUCUGGAAGCAAUUGAAAUCCUGGAAGAAUCAUUUGGAUCGGACGAUAUAAGGGUUGGAACUGCUUUGCAUAGUCUUGGAAUAUGCUACCAUCUUCAACGCAAGUUUGCUCUAGCUCAGACAUGUUAUGAGCGUGCUUUGAAGAUAGAAGGACGUGUUAUGGGGAUUGGUCAUCCAGAGUAUGCAAGCACAAUGUACCUUCUUGGCAAGGUGUUAAGUCAACAAGGAAAAGAUGCAGAAGCCCUUAUUGAAGAGUCUAUCAGGAUAUUGGAGGAGUCUGGGCUUGGUGAGUCACCAAUAUGCAUACAAAGAAUGAGGUAUCUCUCCACGGAGUUGAUAAAGUCAAAUCGACUUGCUGAAGCUGAAAAUUGGCAAAGGAAGAUAUUACAUAAUCUGGAACUCUCAAAGGGGUGGGAUUCAUUUGACACUACGAAUGCAGCUGAACUCUUAACAAUGACUCUUCAAACCAUGGGGAAGUUGAAGGAAUCUGAAGAAUUAUUGGAAAGAUGCCUUGAAGUCAGAAAAAGGAUUUUGUCUGAGGAACAUUUUCAGGUAGCUGUUACUUUGGUACACUUGGCAAGGCUAACCAUGCUAAACUUUAUUAGUGACAAGGAGGACAGUGACCUAGCAAGAUCCAAACUUGUCAGGGCAAGGCUACUUGUCAAUGAUUCAAUCAGUGCAGAGGCUGAGUUACGAGCUAUGGCCCUUUUGACAGCAGAGGUUACUUGGUUACGUUGGUUACUUGAGGAUCUUGGUGUUUCUGUGACUUCCCCGACCUCUUUGUUGUCGGACAGUACAGGUGCUAUUAGUAUUGCUCGUGAUCCUAUCAAGCAUGAGCUUACUAAGCAUAUUGGGGUGGAUGCUUCUUACACACGCACCCAGGUACAAGAUCAGGAUAGCAGAAGGAAUAUUAUAUGAUUCAAGGAAAGAUCUGAACAAACUCAAUAAUGGACGAACUACAGACAGGGAUAAGAUUGCAGCAACUAGUGCACUUUUGCAAGCACUUGAAGUUGCUGGACUUCUUGAAAGUGGAAUGAAGAAUAUGCUAACUCCAGGGGAACAAGAUUUAUAUCCUGUUGAACAGGCUCUUAACAAGUGUGUUUCGCUUUACAAAGAGCCUCAUACGCGGAAAUUCGUGUCAAAGACUCUCAAGAACGAGUAUAUCAGAUGCUUGAGGCGGCUCACUGGUAUUGUUCAGAGCGAUUUCGCUGUGUCGGAGGCAUUGACAUUGCAGGGGUUGCUAGCUGAAGCGCAACAGAUACUUGAAGAACUUGGACACGAGAGCAACUAGAAGUAUGGAAAAGUAAUUAUUCAUGACUCGGAGGAACACCUUUGUUGUGUGCAAGGUCUUCUAGGUUGGUUUUGCACCAACAGAUUUUGAUGCCAGCAUGGAUUUUUAUUGUGCUCUGAGCUAUCGACCAUAUGCUGCCGUAGUUGGUGGCGACUUUGCAAGCAACAAAGGAUGGUGAUUUUGUUUUCUUCUGGUUUACAGGUUUAUGCUGCCGUGGUUUUUUGUUUGACCUGCGGAUGUCAUUUGCCCGGCAAAUUUUACUUGUAUCAUGACUGCUCGAUUUUGGAACACUUAAGUAGGCUUCCACGGUGUCAACGAAGUGUACGAAGAUCCACUCUUUAGGAUUUUAUAUUUUUAUACUCACCUUGUUCUUCAGAAGCUUCUUUUUCCUGCCUGGAACAACUUCAGAAGUUGAUAUUUGCAAAAAUAUAUAAUUUUCCUUUGGGGUCAUAACACAAA